AUCCAGCCGAAGAGUCCCAAAUAGGACGAAACGCGCGUCCUGGAU
Non-coding RNA from Schistosoma margrebowiei, 45 nucleotides. Lineage: Eukaryota; Metazoa; Platyhelminthes; Trematoda; Strigeidida; Schistosomatidae. The record is from Rfam.